CAUGCCGCGUGUGUGAAGAAGGCCUUCGGGUUGUAAAGCACUUUCACUUGGGAAGAAAGGCUGGGGGCUAAUACCUUUCAGCUGUGACAUUACCUUGAGAAGAAGCACCGGCUAACUCCGUGCCAGCCCCGGCGGUGACUGAGCGGGCUGGCAAGGCGCA
RNAcentral lists this ribosomal RNA (160 nucleotides) under uncultured bacterium. RNAcentral describes it as "partial 16S ribosomal RNA". It matches the Rfam family "Bacterial small subunit ribosomal RNA", at positions 393 to 539 of the family's 1533-position model. The record is from RNAcentral.